Molecule: long non-coding RNA, 9690 nt
Filed under: Gallus gallus (chicken)
Lineage: Eukaryota; Metazoa; Chordata; Aves; Galliformes; Phasianidae
Description: lncRNA (ENSGALG00010015868.1)
Source: RNAcentral
GGAAGAUACAGGAAACAUGAGGCAAACAAAUCCUAGCUUAGAGACGACAGAAAAAAGAACUGCUUUGUUUAUUAACUCUAAGUAUCUUAUCACUUGAUAUUCUUGCUCUAUUUCUGAGGAAGACAGAAAAAAAGUGUUAAAUUUUCCUUCACUUUCCAUGGGGAAGGGAGUUGCAGUUGACUUUUAACUCCAGAUUUUACUUUCUGCCAGUACUGCUGCAGAAAAUAAAAGCUACUUAAACAUAAUGUCAAAGGACAUAUGCUAGUUUAUUUUGCUGCCAUCUCUGUGGCUUUCAUCCAAGGUCACUCUUAUUAUGGGAAGCCUGAGCCCAAGAUUUAUUCUGCUGCAGGAGAUUGCCUAACAGGACACUGACAGAAUUUCCGAAGCUGUAUGAAAGCAUUGGAAAGCAUUUUGUCCUUUCCUGGAUGGUUUCUGUUUCACAAAGUAUUAUUAUUAUUUUCUUGUUACCAUUUUCUUACUGUUUAUUAUAAUAUCUUUUUGGUUGAAGACAAAUAGGGGGGACAAAAUAACCAGCUGUAGAUAUAAUCUUUGAAGACUCAAAUUGGUAACUGCUAGUGUAUGUAGCUCUAAUGGGGACAUAAGAAGAAAAGAAAGGGAAAAACAAAAAAGACACACCACCUGAUUUCAGGCACUGAAUUUAGGAAGCUUAUCUUGUUAGGCUUCUGUAGUAGAGGAGGCAAGGGCCAGAGGUGUGCUUCUAAGCCAUUGGCUGCUCUAAAUCACCCUCUGGGAAAACCUACUUUCUUUUGUUGUAAGGAAAGCUCAGGGGAAUGAACCAUCCAGGUCGGGUGGGUAAGUGUGCUAACAUGAAUACACCUCAGGUGGUUUUAUUUGGAGAAGAGAAACAGGAGGAUUAUAACCAUCUGAUUAGGGAAAAGAAAGCCUCCACUUUUUGUUUGCUGAUUGUGUGCAAGUGUGCAGUCAGUUUUGCUGACGUUCAUACAUGAGAGAUUCUGAAACAUGGGAGUAAUUUGAUGCAUACGCUUUGCUUGCUACAGUAAAUUACAGCCUUUCCUUGCCCAGGAGCUGAGCUAUAGUUUUUCUUCUGUUUCACAGUGUGAUACGUUGCCUUAAUUGCACCAUCUAUUGUGACAUUUUUGAUGCUUUUCAUUUUUGUCUUUCAUUGUGGGUGCUCCAACACGAGUAAAUGACACUACAGCAUUCAGAAAGCUUGUCAGGCUGUGUUCAGGUCAGCACUUCGUCAGUGACUGCUGUGAAAAAUAGUCAAUGAACAUCAAAGUUAUAGGACCUUGAAAAGGCAGUCAGGAGGAGCAGCCUGGAAAUCUGCAGAACAGAAGCACCUAAAGAAAGCAGAUUUCAUAUUGAUUAGUCUCUUCCUUAAGUAUAGUGGACCCACCACAGGGAUGAAUGUCAUCUUUACAGAGGAAGAAAAAUAACAGGAAGAAUUACAUCGUGCGGCAGUUUUUCAUUGCGGUGAAUUUAAGAGUGAGGCACAACAUGUGUUUUACUGGGCCUCCACCUCUUGCUUGGAUCCUUCUAGGUGGCUGUCAGGCAGACACCGAGCCAAGCUGAUGGCUUUCUGCUUGCAGAGGGAACAGCUCACAGGUAGCCUUACAGAUUCAGCAGGUAAGUGAGUUCAAGCUCACCACAUGGGAAAAAUAAACAAGGACAUUCUUUCCCAUGAUGGCAUCCUUUUUGUAGCAAAAGGAGUUGUGGAGGAGGGGAAAUGGCUGAUGAGCCAAUAGAUGUCAUUUCUCUGUGGUUAGGCUGAUUAUUUUUCUGUCUCAUGGAUAGCAAGCCAACAGCAGUUGCAUGAUGUAUAUUGCAUCCAAGGGAUAAAGUAGGCCUACUAGCUGAACUAGGACAAAAGAUAUCCUUCGGGCAGAUCUAGUAGCCAGUACCACAGUGAGUUUCUACUACACACUCUGUUCCCUGGAUUUACUGCUCACUGAAUGGAAAUGUAGAAAUGAGCAGAUUAGCUUCCUCUCUGUAAAGAAAGAGAGGCACUUUAGAAAGCAAGGUAGAUAUUUCAGAUUAUUUGCAGGCACAGCCAAGGAAUCAGGAACACUAAGUAAGUGACCAUGUGCAAAAGGAUUAUUCCAAUGCAAUGUCCUAGGGUAAAGGCAAAGCAAAGCUACUUGAGCUUAGAUGCAGGCUCCCACAGAAGGGCUGUUUUCUACUGUAGGAAUGAGUCACAGCAGCUGAAUAAUAAAGACUGUCCUAAAAGACAGCCUCAGACAUCAAGCUCCUGCUUAUUACACCUCAGAACAGCAGCUCACUGGGCUUUGUAAGAGCAUCAUUCUCCUAUCUCACAAAGCAGGGAGAUCACAAAAACUCCCCUUUACCUUACAGGACAUAGUGCUGGAGACUGUGGGUCCAGCCUCAGCUCAGGGAAAGAUGUUUCCUAUAUCCCAUCUGACUCUGCCAAGCAUUUGGUUACUAACGUGGUCUGUGAGAGCAUCUCCUUUCCUCAUUGCUGGCAAGAGCUUUUGCAAGUAGAGUUCCUCUAAGAGAGUUUAUUUUGAUGAAGUUGGAGUGUAUGUUUAUGUUUUUCUUUGGCGGAAAAUACUUGUAGAUGUCCUGGGGUUUCAAGAUAACUGAAAUUGCCUUUUUAAUAGCUAGACUAUUUGCUCAACGUCCGCAUUGCUGUUUUGGUUAAAUCUGGGAUAGAGUUAAAUUUCUUCCUAGUAGCUGGUGUGGUGCUGAGUUUUGGAUUCAGAAUGAGGAUAGUGUUGAUCACGCAUCAAUAUUUCAGUUGUUGCUGAGCAGUGUUUACACUAAUUCAAGGACUUUUCUAUUUUUUGCACUGCUCUGUCAGCGAGAGGGCUGGGAAUGGGCACAAGAAGCUGGGAGGGGACAGAACCAGGACAGCCAUUCUAAACUGGCCAAAGGGAUAUUCCAUACCAGAUGGUGUCGUGCUGAACAACAAAACGGGAAGGAGUUGGCUGGGGGUUGGCCACUGGUCAGAGUUUGGGCUGGGCAUCAGGUAGUGGGUGGUGGACAACUGGGAUAUGCGUCACUUGCUUUGUUUAUAGUUUUAUCGUCAUUACUAUUUCCUCUUCUUUUCCUGUCCUAUUAUACUAUCUUUAUCUCACACGGCGAGGUGUACUGGUUCCUGCUACUUCUGGAAGCAAGGUUACCCAGUAAAGCUGAUACCGUUCUGCCAGUUCUCUCAUAGCUGCAAGAUUGUCUACCAUGCUUUGAACUCAGGAAAUCUUGUUUUUGAAACAUGCAACUCAGCAGUCAUGGAAGAGAGAAAGCUGUGGAAGAGGAAUAGAGGAGGGCUGCCCACCUCCUCCUUCAGAUGGGAAAGUCCUCACAGUUGUUUUCCCGCCAACCACGUCUGAACAUUGGAAUCUGCCCCAAGUUUCUGCGUGAGUUGAUGAGAAGAUGUGCUUUGGGCUGAUGCUAAUAAUUUUGAUUUCUGGGACUGGAAAUAAAGACAAAAAGGCACCUUAAUUCUAUCCACUAAAUCUUCUCAGAGGAAUUCUCUUGGCCUCUUCUGUUACAAGCAUCAUCCUUUGGUUUUCUCUUCAAAACUAUUUUAUAUACUGGGAGUCGUCAUCCCGGGAGGCAUGAACAAGAAUCUGGUGACAGGAGCAUCAUGAAGUUCAAGACUUCAAAUGUGAAGUCCUGCACCCUGUAAAUAGUGACACCAUGCAACAGUACAAACUGGGGACAGGCUGACUAGAAACUAGCUUUACAUAAGAGGACCUAGAGGUCCUGAUGGACAUCGAGCUGAAUGUGAGUCAAGAAUGUGCCACUGCGUGAAUGAGAGCCAAGCACAAAAGACACUGGGCUGCAUUAGUAACAGCAGAGGCAGUGGGUUGAGAUAGCCAGCAGAGGUGAAUAUUGCACCCCUCUGAGGAGAAGAAAAUCCCCCAGGCAAGCAGAGAGCAAGAUUGACAUUUCUCAUUAUUUCUGUACUCCAGGUAAUAUAUAUAAACUUUUUUUUUUUCCCUGGGAGCCCUUCAAACCAAGCAAAUGAAGACAUUUCUUCUGUACAGUCAACGACACUCCAAAAGGUCUGAUCUGCUCUCUGAAAUUUCCCCUGAUUUUGCUGUGGCCCUCAGGCUGUAACUCACUGAUCUCAGGCACACAACGUGGCUAUCCCAAAAUCUCAAGUUUUGCUUUGACCAAGUAUUUACCAUAACGAAUAGAAACUAUUCCUUGAACAACAACGUCUUUUACCACUUGCAAAUCUCCAUCUAAUCUGACUGUCCUUAUCUAUAAGCGGAGAGAAUGAAAAGCAGAGAUAUAAAACCCAAAGGUUAAGUACAUAUUUUUUGCAACUGUUUAAUGUUCAGCAUUCUCAUGCUGUGAAGAACAUGCAAAGUUUCUGCAUUCUUUCUAUUGGGUGCAUUCGUUACCAAAGCAGACUUGCUAUCGGUUUGGGAUGUAAACUGACCUGGUGUCACUGCAAUUUGCCUGUUUUCAUGUGUGUGCUUGGUUUGCUUUUGGCAUACAGGCACUUACGGCUGAUCCAAAGUCAUUCAAAAGCUCAGCAGAUGCUUCUGUGAAUCUCUUCUAUGUUUAGAAAUGGAAAUGAAGCACGAAACCAGGUGCUUUCUGUGCUGUCCUGAAUUAUGGAUUUUAUCCUUCAUGUUAUAACACAGUUUACUUGUCUUCUGGUUUAUCGUUUUUGAAGAAGGUAUGAGGUAAAAUACCAAGAUCUCCCUGACAAAGUCUUGUAGGACUCCAGGAACUGCUGUCUUCUGUACGGGUCCUCUCCAAUUCAACAGCACCCUUUCAGCUGACAUCAAAAGGGGUGAGUGAGGGCUGUGUGGAGUACAAGGAGCCAACACUGCUCAUAAGACAGAAAUUCGCCACUGAUUUUGUGAAAUUCUCUGUACUGGAUUAUGCAGGAGAUCAGAAAAGAAGAUUUUCGGAGUCUCUUCCUCUAACUCUUGCAACUUACUCUUGGGAACUGGUAUUAUCAGGCGAGUAUGGACUGGAUGAUCUCCAGAGGUCCCUUCCAACCACUGCGAUUCUGUGAUUCUGAUUCUAAUCUCACAGAGAAUAUGGGACUAAUAUUUCUAAGUUUAAGAAUCAGAGGGUUUUUUUCAAACCAUUUUAGGAGGAGGCAAGAAACACUUUGGUUUAGCUUUCUGGUCUGAAAAUAUCAAUAGUUUGUUGCAUUUUUGAAAAGAGCCACAGGAAUCAUAGAUCAAAGAACCAUAGAAUGGCUUGAGUUGGAAGAGACCACAAAGCCCACGCAGCCCCAACCCUCUGCCAUGGGCAGGGCUGCCCCCCACCAGCUCAAGCUGCCCAGGACCCCAUCCAACCUGGCCCUGAGUGCCUCCAGGGAUGGGGCACCCACAGCUUCUCUGGGCAGCUGUGCCAGGGCCUCACCGCCCUCUGAGUAAAGAUUUUCUGCCUAACAUCUAACCCAAAUCUCCCCACUUUUAGUUUAAAGCCAUUUUCCCUUGUCCUAUCGCUAUUAGACUGUGUGAGAUGUUGGUUCUCCUCCUGUUUAUAAACUCCUCUCAAGUACUGGAAGGCCACAGAGAGGUGUCCCCGGAGCCUUCUCUUCUCCAGGCUGAACAAGCCCAGCUCCCUCAGCCUUUCUUCACAGGAGAGGUGCUCCAGCCCUCUGAGCAUCUUCGUGGCCCUCAUCUAGACAUUCUCCAACAGCUCCACAUCUUUCUUGUGCUGGAGGCCCCAGGUCUGAAUGCAGUACUGGGCCUCAUGAAGGCAGAGCAGAGGGGAAUAAUCACCUUCCUCUCCCUGCUGGCCACCCCUCUGUUGAUGCUGACCAGGAUACUGUUGGCCUUCUGGGCUGCAAGAGCACACUGGUGGCUCAUGUCAAGCCUAUUAUCUAUCAGAGACCGUGGGUCCUCCUCCGCGGGGCUGCCCUCAAUGAGUUCUUCUCCCAGACUGUACACGUAUCAGGAAUUACCCUGACCUGAGUGCAACACCUUGGUCAAGCCAUUGCUCUCAUGGCUACGGGUUUGUUGUUUGGACACAAUAAUGUACAGAUGGGCUUUGCAUUUAUCAAGAAUAAUCACCAGCUGAGAUGCUGAGUGGAGGAAAACUAUUAUCGUCGUGACUGACCAGAGUCUGGCAGCAUUCUUUGUUGUUUGUGGCUUAUUCUUGAAAUUAGAUUUCAGAGACUAAACUGACCUCUCUGUAAGCUGAGCUCAGAAGAUGAAGGCCAAUAAUGGGAGAAGGAGCACAUCUCAAGGCAAAAGGUUUAACCGUCUGCCUCUUGGUAACCUGCAGGAAAUCCACCAAACAUCAUUUCAUUUGCAGUGAUUAAAGGUGAACAAUAUAGCUCUGUGUAGGAUUUCUUGCAUUUGAGACACGUUUCAUUAAUUAUUACCUCUUCAUUUAUAUUUUCUACUCUAGAAUAAGUCUUGCUGUGGGAAGCGGGGUGUAGGAAACACGAGGUGGUGCUUUUCAGCGACAAACCUUCAACUAUGGCAUUGUUUUUCAUACUUGCAAUAUUCAGCCACAGUAUCCACAAGGGAGGUACCACAAUUGCAAAAUGCUAUUUAAAAUAAUGGCGUGUUUUAGAAGAGCUUCCAAUGUCUCUCAUAAUAUUUGCAGAUAAUCUCAGUUUGCCAAUCUGUCAAGUAAUUAUUCUCCAUCUGUGAUAUCCAGUGAUAACCAGUUAGACUUUCAAAUUCAUUUUUACCAACAUUGGUGAGCUCAUCACUCGCCUGUUGAAAGAACAGAACACAAACAUUAAAAAAGUGCAAAGGCAAUGUAUUUAUUAUUGUAGCAUGCAGUCAAACCUGCAUAAUAACUACUAAUUAAAGUGUUAAGGCCUUAAUUUUAGAAAGACAGAGAGGCUUUCUGCUUUUGUACAGUACCAUACACACAUCAUUUUUAUGCUUUGCUUUCUGUGAUUAGUGACCAAGGCCUGGCAUGAGACAAUUUUACUUAAUCAGCUGUAUGCAUUAAAUACCAGCAGCUGCAAUUAGACAUUCUUUUGUAUCACAUACUACGCUUCACGCUGCUAUUUGCUCCUGACCUUGGCAGGCACUUCUGCUGUGUUUGGAGAGGAGCACAGUGAAAUUCAGAAUUCUUUUUUUCACAGCCUGGAUGUUGGCAGAUGUGCACACACAUUCUUGCCCCACAGACCAAACAGAGCAACUUCAGAAGUGCAGCAGGAGUUCCUUUAAAACAGACUGGGAAGGAAAGGUGGGAAUGAACGAAACCUCUACCCCGUGCCUUAACACUUUUGAGUACGAUGUUGGUUUGCAAUGCUUACGUAUCACUUUGGACAUUACACAUUGGCACUGAGUACCUAAAACAAGAGACUUGAGCUUUCCAUUUGCUUUGCACAUCUGUUUUGUCGGGUCCUGUGCUCGUAGCAUCAUUUUUUCCCAGCUGCAGUAUCACAACUGGACACUAGAGAGCUCCUUUUACCAAAGACAUCUCUCCAACGUGAGGGCAGAGCCCUGUGAGGUUUUGCAGAGAAACACUCAUUAUUCUUGCAACAGAAUCUAGGGAAGCUCUGUCUCAGCAUACAUGACCUCUGCUGUACAAAGAAAAAGGUUGCGUUGUGCCUGAGGAACAAAGCUCUGGAAUUAAGUCUAUAACAGCUAAGAUAUGCUGGGCCACGGAGCAUCUUUGCAAGUCUCUAAACAGCCCACAGGAAAAUCUCAGAAGGACCCUCAGAUUCUCAGGAGUGCAGAUGACUACUGAAGAAGCAAGGACCUCUAAGGAGGGUCCACUUCAGCCCACCUCCAGUCUGAGGGUCAUUUAGACAUAUGGAACAACGCAGAGAGAAAAGGGAGCACUGAAAAGCUGCUCCAGUAAUUCCCAGCUGCCUCUUCCCCACUCUACUUCCUCCUGAUGCUGCCCUUUUCAAUUGGCCACUGAACUGGGGUUUCAAAUUAUUUCUCUCGAGAAGCUGUACAGAGUUUUAUUGCUUUGAUUCUAACUGAUCUAUUGGCUGCCUGCGCAUUUCUCAGCCACUUUCUGAAAACAGCAGCUGGUACAGAUGAUGUUUGCAGGUGAAAAGUGGAGCUGCCUAAUAGCUUUCCAGCUGAUAUAGCACCAGCACUGGAUUAGGUCAUUGUAAUGGCAGCUGAAAACUUUGCUUUAACACAGCUUGAGCAGCUCGGUACACCUUGGUUUAGUGAGAAGAAGCAGUGUCCAGCGUGGCUGGUUGAGGUACUGCUGUAUCUCAAGUGUUUGUCCAACACGAGCACCAGAAAGUUGAGCACAGUGAAAUAAAACCAGAUCUGCUUGCGAAAACAAAAUGGAAAAAAGUCACCUGAAAGAAAAAUCCAUAUUCCUUUCUCAGUAGCUUUUAUGAAAACUUUUUCCUUCCUCAAAUUACAGUGACUCCAUGUGGCUUACUCCACAAUGCAGAUUUUAAUAUAUUUUUACUAAAAUUUAUUCCAGCUGUUGCUAAUCAUAGAGAUAUGAAUAAUAUUAUUAUACAGAGAAAAAUCUUGACUAGACUUGGUGCAGAUUUAUUCAUUUGUAAUUUUUCCAUCUUAAAUCCAAAUAUUAAAAGCCAGAUGAAAGGAAGGAAAGGUAAUUGUAACUGCUGGCUUCUACUUCACCAUGAUGAAAUUGAGCUUGCUCAGUAAUCAAAGAAUAAGCGUAGAGAUUUUUAUCAGAGUAUCUGAUUUUAUCAGACCAUUUGCAGGGACUGCAAUUCAAUAGAAACCGGGGAUGCCAGAUCUUUCGUAUAAAUCACUUUUGGGAGAGGACUGCUGCUGAGCUCCAGCUCAGACAUGCCCAGAAAAAAAUCAACCAACUGAAGUUGAAUAGGGAACACACUGGGGGUCUUCAAACUCUGUCAUUAUUGCAGCAUGUAAACUUCUAGGAGGCCAUUACAUUGAGAAAUGUGCUGCCAGCUCUGAAGGCUGAGUCCAGUCAUAGAAUCAUAGAAUGGUUUGGGUUGGAAGGGACCUUUAAUAUCAUCCAGUUCCAACCCUCUGCUAUGGGCAGGGACACCUCCCUCUAGACCAGGUUGCUCAAAGUCCCAUCCAGCCUGGCCUUGAAUGCUUCCAGGGAGGGGGCAUUCACAACCUUUCUGGGCAACCUGUUCCAGUGUCUCACCACACUCACAGUAAAUAACUGCUUCCUGAUAUCUAGUCUAAGUCUACUGAUUCAGUUCAGUCCUUGGUCGAAAAUGCAUCCUUCACCUCACCAAAGUCAGAUUCUUUUUCACAACCCAGUGCCUCCGUACAGUGGUGUUAUGAAUUCCAUCCACUAAGUAUGGAUCUGCGUUCUGUGUCCAAACCUAUUUCUUAUGCCGCAUUUACUUCCAGUGCCCAACCAUACAGAAAUUUACCCAUGCCUUUGCACAGCAGGAAGCAUAUGGUGCCUGAGUUACUCAAGUCCAUUUCUCAGGAAAGCAGUCCUUUAAAAACAACUUCUGUCCAUCAAGGCCCCCUCUUCAAACAGCCUCACAUUCAUGCUGUUCUGCUUGUGGUAAGAAUCAGUGUUCCAGCUACAGCAAAAAUGCAGUUUGCACUGUAAGAGGAGGAAAUAAAUGUCGGGUCAUCUAAGAGUCCUUCAUUCACUCAGCCAAAAAUGAGACUACCCUGAAUUUUCCCUUUUUCAUUUUUGUGGUACUGAGUCAUGAGUUGAUUUCUUUGGGAAAAAAAAAAGAGAAGAAAAUCUAAAACUGUCUUGUAGUUAAUCAGUAUUAGAUAGAUGGCUAAGUGACAGCUCAUAUGACUCAGGCCCUUUAGGCUGCACUUAUCCCUUGCUCUCAUGCUAUAAAACACGCUUUUCCAG